This 72-nucleotide transfer RNA is filed under the name Sphaerodactylus townsendi. Its description in RNAcentral is "tRNA-Pro". It matches the Rfam family "tRNA". Rfam says of the family: Transfer RNA (tRNA) molecules are approximately 80 nucleotides in length. Their secondary structure includes four short double-helical elements and three loops (D, anti-codon, and T loops). The record is from RNAcentral. Lineage: Eukaryota; Metazoa; Chordata; Lepidosauria; Squamata; Sphaerodactylidae.
GCAGUUGUGGCUCAGUGAUAGAGCAUCUGCUUGGGAUGUGGAAUAUCCCAGGUUCGAUCCUCGGCAUCUUCA